This 103-nucleotide microRNA precursor is filed under the name Marmota monax (woodchuck). Lineage: Eukaryota; Metazoa; Chordata; Mammalia; Rodentia; Sciuridae. The record is from RNAcentral.
AGUGGAAUUGCCCGGUCAUGUGGUAAUUCUGUAUUUCACUUUCUGAAGAACCACUAGCCUGUUUCCCACAGUGACUGCACCAUUUUACAUUCCCACCAGCGGU